UACUGUCUUCGUCAUCGAACAACUGGC
Molecule: small RNA, 27 nt
Filed under: Bombyx mori (domestic silkworm)
Lineage: Eukaryota; Metazoa; Arthropoda; Insecta; Lepidoptera; Bombycidae
Description: ovarian small RNA-21562
Source: RNAcentral